Parelaphostrongylus tenuis is the source of this 74-nucleotide non-coding RNA. Lineage: Eukaryota; Metazoa; Nematoda; Chromadorea; Rhabditida; Metastrongylidae. The record is from the annotation of a GenBank genome assembly.
GAUCGCCUGGGUGUUGUGGUAGCACGCAUCUCCGGUAGGGAUGAACCGCGGGUUCAACUCCCGCCUAGCGUUCG